GACACUGGAGGGGGUUUGUAAAGGAGGCGACGAAGGAGAGAGGAGACACUACCAGCAAACACAGAGGUCAUCUGACCUCUGAAGGGCCUGACAGACAAAGAGGAGGGUUCAAAAGAUGUCAAACAAACACAGGAGGCUGCAGAGGAGAAGACGGAGGAGGUGAGGUGACUGAAUGGCGACAGGAGGAGAAACGAGAAAGUGUCUUCGUUGAGUCCAGGAGUUUUCUCCUCUGUCCUCCCUCCUUUUCUCCUCUGUCUUCACUCCUUUUCUCCUCUGUCCUCACUCCAUCCUCCCUGUCAAGCACAUUGACAGUAGCCAUACUGUUCGGAUCAGAUUAUUGUAAUCUAGUUCAUGUGAUGAACACGAAUGCAGCACUAACACUCAGCACAGGCAGGCGUGUGAAAAACUCACCAAUAAUGUGUCCGAGCUGCACUUGAAGGUCCCGUAUUCAGAUCUGUUGCUGCCACAGCCUGACAGUUCACAUCUAAAUGUUUACCCCCACUUUUCACUGCAUCCAGAACACCUACUAAAAGGUCGAAUCUUCUAAUCCUAGCUGAUCGUAACCAUUCAAGUAAACAUGUCAAUUUCCCCCUGGCUUCUUUCCGUUCCUCUGCGGAUCGAAUGUGAAUCCUUGGGUUCUUGUGAGUUAUCAGGAUUACUACUGUCCGUAAAUUAGCCUCACCAACGGAUCCGGUAGGAAUGGCAAAGAUCUCCACCGUUCCGGAUCGGAGCCAUUCCAGAUGCGGUUAAAAUUGGGGCUAAAGGUCCUCCCAGCUUGUUCUCAGCUCCCAGUCCAGAUCCAGCAUUGCCGAUGGUCUGGGGAUCAUCAGAGUCCAUGUCCUGGGUAUCUUGUUUGUUGUUCCUAACCUGAAAUUAUUCAACUUUCAGCUCUGCCUUACAAAUAAAAGUCCAAAAUGGGAAAUUCGGCAAUGACCUUUCAUGUAAAUAUGCAUCAGUGACAUCACUUCCUGUGUAGAUGUGACCCCUCCCUUAUUCUGCAUUCGAGUUACCUUGGAAGACAGAAGUCCGAGCUGAAAAUGACAUCACACCCAAGUUCCCAGCGUUUCAGUUACCAAGUCGGAAAAAAGCAGAUUGGAGGCGGACACCCCGAUGACACCAUGGAUGAGGAGAUGCUGAUUCUAAAAGUCUAGAAGUAGAUAUCCACCUCUGGAAGGACACAAUCUACUGCUUAUAUGUCUAUGUGUCUGUCUUUAUAGAGACAACUCGUUAUUGUGCGAUUGAACAUGACUCCUCGGGUUCUUGUGAGUUCCUGCUGUCCGUAAUCCGCCAUGAAAUUUGUCUCCCAAACAGAUCCAGUAGAAAUUAGUGGACGGCGAAAAAUUGCUGCCGUUCUGGAUGCGGUGAAAAUUGGAGAUUACUCCAAUACACACUGAGUGAAGCUUUAAUGUCAGACAAGGAAACUGGAGCUGCUUCUCAAACCUCCAAAACCAUCAAAUCAUAUGCAGAUGACACCGUCUUUACAGACUCAUUUAAAGGUUUAUAUCGAUCUCUGUUUUAGCAUGUUUCUAUUUCACUUUGUCCUUUUUUGUGAGCAUGAUGAGAAACAGGGACAUCGACUCAAAGCCUGGGACAAUAUGCAUUUCUCCCUAUUAGAUUAUUGUACGAUUUUUUGGAUGCUGAUUGGAUUUAAAUCUCGAUUCUAUGAUAUUGUUGAUUUUCUCUUUUUUUUAGUCUGCAUUUUUAACACCAGUGAAACAGUUGAAUGAUUAUGUCUACUGACUAUUACAGGAACCAUAUUUCCCCAAAAAUACACACCACAUGUAGAUCGGUCGAUUUAAAAAUUGUAAAACAAAAAAUUAUAAUACUGAAUCGAAUUUUCUCCUACCCCUAAUAGACACGUUAGGACUUUAUGUUUUUAUAAGUCAGCAGCAUCGCCUUCAGCGUUUUUAUAACCCAAUAAUAAAUAUAAUAUAAUAAAAUGAUUGCUUCCUAAUAGGCAGAGUCACCGUUGUGACAUCCAAUCAAAGUCAGACUGAAGUUUGAAGCGUCAUUUACCCUGAGGGUCACCAGAGUCCCCGCGAGGAGUCCCCACUUAAAACCCCAAACCUUAGUCUGAUUGAGUGAGAUUGAUUUAAGUGUCAGAACAGGCAGCCAGUCAAACUUGAGAACCAUCCCUGGCCACGCCCCUGCAAACAGCACCCUGAGUCUGAGUACGGGACCUUUAAUCCUGCAGAGAUCUCACUGCACUCACACGCCGUCUCCAUCAGCAUGAAUGCACCAUAUUUUAUAGAAACACAGAGGUUGUCAUGGCAACCGUCUUCCUCUACGUCGUAACCCUGUGCCCGUCAGCAGCAGGAUGACUUCAGGUGUGACUCCAUCACAGUUUGGAUCCAUGUUAAAACUUUAUCAACAUCCUGAGCAUGGACACUGACAGAGACGAGGUCGGCGUUUUUUUUGGUUUUUUUUGUUAUAUCCUAUUUCUUCUUCUUUUUCUUCUCAGUUUUUAUCCGUUGAUGACGCUGCACUGGGAGAUGGAGGCGGGUGGUGCUGCAUGCCUUUGCACUCAUAUUUAGGACUGUUUGUCUAAAACCUCAUCUGUGUGACAAACCUGCAAACUGCUGCAAAAACAAGCUGUGUUCACAAGACAAAGAAAUCCCGACAGCAGAGGGAAACCGAAGCAGGAUGAACUUUAAAGAUUUAUAAUAAAAAUAAUAACUUAAAGGAUGAUAAGAUUCAGAACAUAAUGAGUUUUAUUAUUUAGUUCUGAGGACAGAAUCAGAUCCACUUAGACAAAUAUUUCUGUACAACAAUAUCCUCAGGCUGUUUCUUUUCUUAAAUUUACGAUCUCAUGAUUUCUAAAGUUCACUCAGGCAGAUUUAUAAUUUUGAUCUUGAAAAGAGGGUCCGAUCGAUAGUUGAACCUUGGAUUGAGGAGGAACAAUGCGGUUUUCGUCCCGAUCGCGAAACCACAGAUCAACUCUUCACCCUUGCUCGGGUUCUUGAGGGGAGAUGGGAGUUUACCUAACUGGUCCACAUGUGUUUUGUGGACUUGGAGAAGGCUUACAACCGUGUCCCUAGGGGAAUCCUGUGGGGGGUGCUCGGGGAGCAUGGGGUAGAGGGUUCCUAAUUAAGGGCCGUCCAAUCCCUUUACCAAAGGAGCACAAGCUUGGUCCGGCUGUAAGUCGGACUCAUUUCCAGUGAGAUUUGGACUCCGCCAGGGCUGCCCUUUGUCACCGGUUCGUUUCAUAACCUUUAUGGACAGAAUUUGUAGGCGCAGCCGGGGGGUGGAGGGUGUCCAGUUCGGCAGGCAGAAGAUCGCGUCGCUGCUUUUUGCAGAUGAUGUGGUACUUCUAGCUUUGUCGAGCAGUGACCUUCAGCUCUUCGCGGCUGGGAUGCGAAUCAGCACCUACAAAUCCGAGGCCACGGUCCUCAAUCGGAAAAAGGUAGAUUGCUUUCUCCGGGUCGGAGGGGAGGUCCUACCUCAAGUGGAGGAGUUCAAGUAUCUCGGGAUCUUUUUCACAAGUGAGGGUAGGAUGGAACGGGAGAUUGACAGGCGGAUCAAAGUGGUGUCAGCAGUGAUGCAGACACUUAUCCGAUCAGUCAUGGUGAAGAAAGAGCUGAGCCAUAAGGCAACACUCUAUUUACCGGUCGAUCUACGUGCCGAUCCUCACCUAUGGUCAUGAACUUUGGGUAAUGACCGAAAGAACAGGAUUGUGGAUACAAGCGGCCGAAAUGGGUUUCCUUCGUAGGGAGGCCGGGCUCAGCCUUGGAGAUAGGGUAAGAAGCUCGGACACUCGGGAGGCGCUCAGAGUAGAACCGCUGCUCCUCCACGUUGAGAGGAGUCAGCUGAGGUGGCUCGGGCAUCUGGUUAGGAUGCCUUCUGGACGCCUCCGGUUAGAGGUGUUCCAAACAUGUCCCACCGGGAGGAGACCUUGUGGCCGGCCCAGGACCAGGUGGAGGGAUUAUAUCUCUCGCCUGACCUGGGAGUGCCUGGGAAUCCCCCCGGAGGAGGAGCUGGUGGAAGUGGCUGGGGUGAGGGCCAUCUGGGCUUCCCUCCCGAAGCUGCUGCCCCUGCGACCCGGACUGGGAUGAAGCGGAAGAAAACAAUGACGGUGCGAUCUUGAAAUCUCAGUGUCUCUAUAAAGUGGCACUGGUUCCCCGUCAUAAUUUUGAGGAAAAAGAUGAAAAAUAAACUUAAAAAAUAUGUGAAAUAAGGUUUAUCUAGGAGGUUAAAAAAAAAGGCUUUUUAGAGAGAUAAACACAAAUAAAUCUGAAUUUGAUGCGUUUUCAUUUUCAUUAGAAGAUAUCUAAAAUUUACUUAUUUGUAUUUUUAUUAUCAGAGAAAAAGAAACUAAAAUGUCCUUUGACUGGCUUUUAAGAACACUGAGACAUUUCUAAAUCACAUUCAUGUAAAGAUUUUUAUGAAGACGAAAGUUUUGAGUCUUUCUUCAAACUUUUGUCCUAUUAUAAGACGAUUAUUUUCUCCGAUUUCUUCCAGAGAAGUUGAACAAAUCAAACCUUUAGGAGUUGAAAUGGAUUGUUGAGUAUUUUAAACAUACAUAUUAAAGAUUUUCUGUGUCAUUCAGAGGGAAGAGAGGGAGGGCUCAGCAAAGACAAACAUCACAGCAGCACUGUUUUUUUUUUUUUUUUUUUUUUUUUUUUUAUGGACCUGAAAAUGAUUUUAAGAAACCCGAAUAAAUGGGUGAAUUUCAGACUUUGUCCUGAGCCGUAAGUUUGCAGGUUUGUGGUUCAUGUUCAGCCAAAUAUUCCCCCGACUGUAUCCAAAAACAUUUCAGGAACUAACACCCAAAGGAUGCCGUGGCAUUGACUGAACACACACUGUAAAUAUAUAUAUAUGAAGACUUUAUGAUUAUUGUUAUCGCCAACAUGUUUUCUUUUUUUUUUUUUUUUCUGUGAGCUGAAACUCUUUGGACUGUUGUUCAGAUAAAAAGAAACUCCCUGAACUCUAAAUUCCAGAAAUUUAAAGUACAGAAAUUAAUGCUGAGAUUAACUAAUAAUGAAGUCAUCCAAUGUUGGUGGAUUUUAUUACAGUUUAAUUAUUCUGUGGAAUAAAACGUUAAUAAUUUACGAACUUUUAUCAAAAAUUUUACUUUGAGCUUCAACCUCACAUGAUGUUUUAACAGAGAAAGUUUAUAUUCGUCUCUAAAACUCCUGGGGUCCGUUUCACGUAGCAGGUUUAAUGGAAACUCCGAGUUUGUUAACCCUGAAAUCAGGGAA
Non-coding RNA from Xyrichtys novacula (pearly razorfish), 5198 nucleotides. The record is from the annotation of a GenBank genome assembly. NCBI's taxonomy places the organism in Eukaryota, Metazoa, Chordata, Actinopteri, Labriformes, Labridae.